GACGUAGGGCGCGAGCGUUGUCCGGAUUUAUUGGGCGUAAAGAGCUUGUAGGCGGUCUGUCGCGUCUGCUGUGAAAAUCCGGGGCUCAACCCCGGACUUGCAGUGGGUACGGGCAGACUAGAGUGUGGUAGGGGAGACUGGAAUUCCUGGUGUAGCGGUGAAAUGCGCAGAUAUCGGGAAGAACACCCGUGGCGAAGGCGGCUCUCUGGGACGGUACUGACGCUGAGACGCGAAAGCGUGGGGAGCGAACAGG
Molecule: ribosomal RNA, 253 nt
Filed under: uncultured bacterium
Lineage: Bacteria
Description: partial 16S ribosomal RNA
Rfam family: Bacterial small subunit ribosomal RNA
Source: RNAcentral